This 1695-nucleotide long non-coding RNA is filed under the name Homo sapiens (human). RNAcentral describes it as "non-protein coding lnc-KCNE4-7:1". Lineage: Eukaryota; Metazoa; Chordata; Mammalia; Primates; Hominidae. The record is from RNAcentral.
UGUUAUAUCUGGAUUAUCAAAAGCAAUAGUGCACCAAUUAAGAUGUGCUCAAAUCAGGACUUAAAUCAUAGGCACCACAUUUUUCAUGUCAGACUAGUUACUUUGUUGAUUCUCAGUUACUGUAGGCAUCAAAAGGCAAAAAUCAAAAAAAAAAAAAACAAAAACAAAAAAAAAGAUGAACCUAGGUCUGUGUAAAGUAAGGGGAGUGUUAGGAGCAGCCAGGACUGUGUAGUGUGUGUUUGGUUGCAUCACAAACAUCGUAUGUGGAGACAUUGCAAUACAGUGUUUUUUGUUUUCAACUUUUCUUGUAUUGUAUAUUUGUAUUAUGUUUUGAAUGCUUUUCUCUUUUCAUAAUUAAAUAUUAAUGUUUGGGAUAACUGCCAAGAAGAAGUAAAAAUAUUGAAUGGAACUUCUAUAUGAGGAUGCUGUGAUCUAAAAAUUAAAUCUCAGUGGGCGGAGAGAAUUUGUUUCUGAUGCCUUGUCUUUAGAAUAAUUGUUUGCUUUCAGAUGAUUAAAAAAAGGAGAUUGUAUCUAGGAAAAAAGUGUGAAUGCUUCAAAGGAGAGAUACUGAUAAUUGUGACUUGAAAUAGUGUCAGAUGAAUUAUGUAGCUGAUCACUGAUGGAACCAUCUAAUGAGGCAGGCUUAAACUCUAUUUAGUUUCGUUUGUUUUCUCAUAUGAAGUUUAUAAUUCCUUUCAGUCCUAAAAUGUCAGAUGCCAGGUGUCAAAUGCCACAGUAGAAAGUGAAAUUAAGUAGAGUCCCCUUUUAAACAAAUUUGUCUGUAAGCAAAACUAUCUUUAGUGACUUAAAAAAUAAUAUCCUCUAAAAUUACCCUUUCAAGAGGAAAAAACUGUUCAAUGAAAAAACCACUCAAUUAUGACUCAUAUAAGAAAUACUGGUUUAACCAGGAGAUAUUUGGGGAGCAAAAUUUUAAGGAAUUUCAAAUUGCUAAAUCUAAUACAAAUAUCUGACAAUAAGAUACAGAUCUAAAAGAAUGGUUCUUAAGAACUAUUGUUUACUGGGAAUAAACUAAGCUCUAUGAAGAAUUCGUAAGCAUUACAUGUUCCAGUAAGUUUAGCAACUUAGAGCCAAGACUGGUGGCCACCUCCAUUUAUUUCCCCACUGCUCCUCCACUGACAUCCUUCUUAGCAGAAACUUCAUGAAAAAGUUUUUGCUGACACAGAACAAACCUGAAAGUAGUAUCUACUUUCUAAAUACUACUUUGCUUUUCAGUAGUGGAUUUGAUAUUUAUAAUGUUCUCUAAAGCUUGCAACUUUUUCAGCAACGUUUAAAAAUAGAUUAACCUGGAAUAACUUACUUGUUUGCUGCUAAAAUACUCAAGAUUUUGCCAUUUUUAAACAACCAGUCCCUGUGAUACAACUUUGAAAAAACUUUUAAAAAUCUCUGAUGUGUGGGCUCUUUUUUUCCCAUAAGAAUUAUGUACAUCUGUGAUGUUUUACAGGGGGAUCCGCUUUUAAACAGUGUACAUAUUGGACCACACUGAAAUGUCAUAUAUCCUUUCUCUACUUAAAAUUGGUUAUUUACUGUGAGUUCAUUUCCGAUGUGUUCUUGGUUGUUGCUGUUUUCUGCCUGAAGACGUGUAUCAUAAAGAGCUACAUGGUAUGGACUAUUUAUUUGUAAUUUGACAUAAAGUUUGAAGAAUAAAGAUCUAUAAAAGUUGAAGUUUCUGAUAUU